CGCGGCCGGGGUAACUUCGGUCUGCGGGGCGCGAUAAAAAAUGGAAAGAAGAAAUCUUUAAAAAACAGUCCUUUCCGUCAGAAGGAACAGCUGCUACAUUCCCUUACGGCAUGUUGCCAGACCCUGGAUUUUGUUGACUCUAGAGGUGAAGUGACAGAUAAAGGAGUCUAUAAAGUCUACAGAAGCACAGGAAAGACAGAAGGAGAGAUACUAGCCAGAGACAGAUAAAACAAGAAUGCAUCUCAUGCAGAAGCUGCAAAUGUGAGAUUUGGAAAUGCAUCAGAGGAAAAAAAAUCACAAGCAGAAUAAAUGUUUCUGUGAUCAACUGAACUCACAAAGCCCAAUUCAAGGCAGGAGUGUCAUCUGUACAGAGGAGCAUACCAAAGGGCAUGAAGAUGCUUUUUUAAAAAGUGAUACAACAAGGAAAGAAAAAUAUCCAGUUUUAUGAUGUGUCCUGUGCAAAACCACUAUGGAGGGCUCAAACCUAAGGAUCUGCCCAACAUCUUUGAUCCCACAGGUGGAUGAGAGGUCACCACUGAACAUAUUGAAUAAGUCCGUGGCCACCAGCAUGUUGCAGGAACUUGGAGAGAAGUCGCAGCUCCUUGCUGGUAUGAGACUGGUAACAUGCUAACCUGUAGCUGGAGAGAACUCACUGAGGGGAUUGAUUACGAUAAUUAGCCCCAGAAGUCACUACUGUACAGAAGUGUGGGAACCAGGUGAAGCCAAGUCUCAGAGGAGGUUGAAAGUGGUGCUCUUGAAUCCAGAUGUACAGAGUGGGAAAUCACUGCCAUCAGAAGAGAACAAUGCAAGAAAGGCUUUGCUUUACCAGCCUGCACUACGAAGGAAAAAAGAAAACCUGAGAUAGCACCGAACAUGUCUCUCGGAAGUAAAGCAGUGGUGGCGUAUUUUGGGAAUUGACUGCAUACACCUUCAGAAAAUGUCUGACCUUCCUCUGCAGCCCUUAAGGAAGGGCAUACUUCCAUCUGCAGAUGCUCUCUCAAUUACCUCAGGUAUGCAGAGAUCACAAGGGAAGAGGAAGAACAGCCAAGCUCCCAAGAAACUCCUCUCCUUAUACAUCAGAUGCACCUCCUCACAGCAUGUAGCAGGAACCAUACUCUUACCCUUCCAGGACUUCUGUUUUACUGAAUAGUAACAUCAAAUCAGAGAAGCUGCCUAUGGCUGGGCUCUAUGUAAAUAAAAGGAAUGAAUUCUAUGCCAUUAAUUCACAGUAAGGAAUCUAAACUAAGUUUGGACAAUGAUGGCUCCAAUGCAAACACUGCUGUUUCUCAUAACAAGACAAGGUGACAUGAUUUCUCAUUGCAUCUUCGGUGGCUCAAGGUUCACUUGUGUCUUUGAGGCAAGUUUGCUUUUAUUGAUACCUCUC
Molecule: non-coding RNA, 1384 nt
Organism: Cyanistes caeruleus (blue tit)
Lineage: Eukaryota; Metazoa; Chordata; Aves; Passeriformes; Paridae
Source: RefSeq, a predicted model, not a curated record